AGCGGCGUUGCCAUGGAGACGCAGAGCAGGAAGAACAUUCCACUGUUGACAGACUGGUAAAGCUAAACCUUCUCGGGGUUCUCUCCUGUAACAGAUAAACACUGUCCGCUGAAGUUGAAUAGACCGACUCGUUAACACUAUUGACAUCACCGGACGCCCGUGUUGAGGCUGCUGCCGCGGUCUGAGUCAACAGGAUCAGGAUGCGUCGGAACCCCCCCCCCCGUGGUCAGGCCCCCCCCCCGCGGGGUCAGGGGGCGGCCCGGGCCAAGCAGAUGGGUCUGCUCCUGGACCUCACCCCCGAGGGGGAUGCGGAGGACGGCGGGAACGAGGAGGAGCUGGAGGCGGAGCUCCUGGCGCUGAUGGGAGGGGCAGGGAAACCAACGGCGAAGAAGAACGGAGGCAGAGCUCCUGUCCCCAUGGAGGAGAUCGAGCGGAUGGCGGCUCUCUGCAUGAAAGAUCUGGACGAGGACGACGUGGGAGAGGAAGACCUGGACGAUGAGGACCUGCUGGCGGAGCUGAACGAGGUGUUGGAGGAGGUGGAGGAGGAGGCUCCCCGACCCGCCCCACCUGUCACCAUGGUAACCGCCCCUCAGCCACGCCCUCCCCCGGGCGGGGCCAGCGGACCGGAGUCCGUCCUCCUGGAGCGCAUCGCCAUGUACCAGGCGGCCGUCGCCAACGCAACGGCCUCAGGGGAGACGAGCAAGGCCCGCCGCUACGACCGCGGCCUCAAGACUUUACAGUCCAUGUUGGCGUCGGUCAAAAAAGGGAAACCAAUCAAUGAGGAGGAUAUGCCACCGCCUGUCGCCACAGGUGGAAAGCCCAAUGUCCCGCCUCCUCAGCCUGAGCCAAUCAAGGAGCGCGAACAGCCAGCGCCAAACCUCAUGCCUUCUCUGCCAACGAAUCAGAAGCCGCUGAGGGAAGCCCCGCCUGUGAUCCCAAACGUUAAGCCUCACUCUCUCACCCCCCCAAAGGCAGCCUCCACCGCCCUAACCCCUGGGACCCCGGCAAUCUCCCCCCUCACCCCCGGACACACACACUCACAGCACUCAGAGCUGAAGCAGGCCGUGCUAUCCAGACAGAGGGACUACAAGAUGGCCGCUAUCCACGCCAAGCAGGGCGGCGACUCAGAGCUGGCCAAACAACACUACCUCAUCGCUAAGAGACUGGACCCUGUGCUGGAGGCCCUGGACCGGGGGGAGCCUCUGGACCUCCGCUCCCUCCCACCAGCGCCGGCCAGACAGAGCCCUGCCCCCAGUCCGGCCGGGCCCCCGCCCGCGCCCGCUGCCACCCCGACCCCGGGCCCUGUGGCCCCUGCUGAGCUGGCGGCUCCUGGCAGUGUGGAGGAGGCCUUGACCCAGAGGAUGGACCGCUACAAAGCAGCCGCCACCACAGCCAAGAGCACCGGAGACGAACGCAAGUCCCGCAUGCACCAGCGCAUUGUCAAGCAAUACCAGGACUCCAUCAAAGCUCAUAAGGCCGGUCGGCCGGUGAACCUGUCGGAGCUCCCCGUGCCACCAGGCUGUCCACCACUCCAGGGUUUAGACGUUGGGCAGCAGAAUUUCAUGGGUGUCAUGGAAACAGCCAUGAAAUUAGCCAAUCAGGAGGCAGAUGUGGAAGAGGACAGCCAUGCAGACGCUGCAAAGCCGAUCGCUCGGCCCCAGGCUCCCAAAGCCCCAGCCGUCCCCUCUCAGGCCCCCGCCAAGAUGGGAGCUAAAGCUCAGCAGCAGCUGGAUUUCUUAUUGCUACGACGACAAGGACUGACCAAUGCAGCACUGCGGUCGAAGCAGAUGAAGGACCUCCAGGGGGCGACGCAGCACCUCCGGCACGCCAAGGGGCUGGACGCCAUGAUCACCGCCGCUAGAGCCGGCCUCCCCGUGGACAUCUCACAGGUUCCUGACGCUCCGGUCUUUGAGGAGGCCUUCUCCCUGGGCCGCCCCCGGACCCCCCUGUCCCCCCGCUCCGGGGCGCAGUACCAGCAGCUGAUGGAGCUCCUGAGGAAGCAGCACCAGAAAUGCCGCGGCUACUGCAAGCAGUUCACCCAGAUAGGAAACCUGGCCGAGACACUCAAGUGUGAGAGGCUGGCCGAGGAGUGCAUGAAGAGCGUGGAGGUGCUGAAGAGGGCCCACGCCCAGGGCCACGGGGCCCCCCGGGCGCGCCACGAGGAGCGGACCCUCAACGUGAUCAGGGUGAACCCCGACCUGUCGAUGAACGACAUGAUGCUUCACAUCAUCAGAGGCAUCAAUCUACCCACCCCUUCAGGCGUCUCUUCCAGCGAUCUGGACUCUAGUGUGAAGUUUGAGUUUCCUUUCCCAAGUGUGGAGGAGGCGCAGUGUGACCGGACGGCCACGGUCCGCUCCACCUCCAGCCCCGAGUUCAACGAGAGUUUCAGGCUGAGCAUCAACCGGGGCCACCGAGUGUUCAGACGGCUGAGCAAGGGCAUCAGGCUGGAGGUCCUCCACAAGGGAGGCCUAUUCAAGACGGACAAGGUGGUGGGCGGCGCCCAGCUGAAGAUGGACGCCCUGGAGAACCAAUGCGAGGUCCGGGAGAUCCUGGAGGUGCUGGACGGCCGGCGGCCCACCGGGGGGAAGCUGGAGGUCCGCCUGCAGCUGCGGGAGCCCCUGGGGGGGGCGCAGCUGCAGGCGGUGACGGAGAAGUGGCUGGUGCUGGAGCCGCCGCCCCCCUCCCCCACCAAGAGGCCCAAGGACCGGGCUCCCCCUUCCCCCCGCUCCGGGCCGCGGGGUGCCCCCCCCCCCAGCAGCUCCCCUCCGAAGUACAGCCUCCACAGCUUCAGCCUGCUGCACCACGAGAAGGAGGGCGUCGAGAGGAAGCUGGUGGAGUACAAGAGGAUCCGCCGCGAGCCCCCAGCCGACCUGCUCCUUCAGCACCGAGAGCUCGGCCUGCGCCUGCAGUGGCAAAAGACCCAGCUGGAGAGAGGGUCCCCCGCCCUCCUGCAGGGUAACACUCACUAUAACACCCAGCUGGAGAGAGGGUCCCCCGCCCUCCUGCAGGGUAACACUCACUAUAACACCCAGCUGGAGAGAGGGUCCCCCGCCCUCCUGCAGGGUAACACUCACUAUAACACCCAGCUGGAGAGAGGGUCCCCCGCCCUCCUGCAGGGUAACACUCACUAUAACACCCAGCUGGAGAGAGGGUCCCCCGCCCUCCUGCAGGGUAACACUCACUAUAACACCCAGCUGGAGAGAGGGUCCCCCGCCCUCCUGCAGGGUAACACUCACUAUAACACCCAGCUGGAGAGAGGGUCCCCCACCCUCCUGCAGGGUAACACUCACUAUAACACCCAGCUGGAGAGAGGGUCCCCCGCCCUCCUGCAGGGUAACACUCACUAUAACACCCAGCUGGAGAGGGUCCCCCGCCCUCCUGCAGGGUAACACUCACUAUAACACCCAGCUAGAGAGGGUCCCCCGCCCUCCUGCAGGGUAACACUCACUAUAACACCCAGCUGGAGAGAGGGUCCCCCGCCCUCCUGCAGGGUAACACUCACUAUAACACCCAGCUAGAGAGGGUCCCCCGCCCUCCUGCAGGGUAACACUCACUAUAACACCCAGCUAGAGAGGGUCCCCCGCCCUCCUGCAGGGUAACACUCACUAUAACACCCAGCUAGAGAGGGUCCCCCGCCCUCCUGCAGGGUAACACUCACUAUAACACCCAGCUGGAGAGAGGGUCCCCCGCCCUCCUGCAGGGUAACACUCACUAUAACACCCAGCUGGAGAGAGGGUCCCCCGCCCUCCUGCAGGGUAACACUCACUAUAACACCCAGCUGGAGAGAGGGUCCCCCGCCCUCCUGCAGGGUAACACUCACUAUAACACCCAGCUGGAGAGAGGGUCCCCCGCCCUCCUGCAGGGUAACACUCACUAUAACACCCAGCUGGAGAGAGGGUCCCCCGCCCUCCUGCAGGGUAACACUCACUAUAACACCCAGCUGGAGAGAGGGUCCCCCGCCCUCCUGCAGGGUAACACUCACUAUAACACCCAGCUAGAGAGGGUCCCCCACCCUCCUGCAGGGUAACACUCACUAUAACACCCAGCUGGAGAGAGGGUCCCCCACCCUCCUGCAGGGUAACACUCACUAUAACACCCAGCUGGAGAGAGGGUCCCCCGCCCUCCUGCAGGGUAACACUCACUAUAACACCCAGCUGGAGAGAGGGUCCCCCGCCCUCCUGCAGGGUAACACUCACUAUAACACCCAGCUGGAGAGGGUCCCCCGCCCUCCUGCAGGACUACCAGGCUGUGUUGGGCCGGUUCGUUCAGGGCCUUGGUGACUCAGUGAAGAAGUUCUCCAGCCAAGGGAACCGGGAGGCUGCCAAAGAGGCCCUGGGCCGGCUGAAGUUGGUUGAGGUGGAGCUGGAAUCUCUG
Molecule: RNA transcript, 4374 nt
Organism: Gadus morhua (Atlantic cod)
Lineage: Eukaryota; Metazoa; Chordata; Actinopteri; Gadiformes; Gadidae
Gene: cc2d1a
Gene name: coiled-coil and C2 domain containing 1A
Exons: 28
Source: RefSeq, a predicted model, not a curated record